AAAGUCGUAACAAGGUUUCCGUAGGUGAACCUGCGGAAGGAUCAUUUCUGGUAUAUUCAAACAAACUUGGGGCGGUUAAACGCUCGCAAGUGUUAACUAAACACCUAUUGAACAAGGAUUUAUUCUGAUCAAUUACUAAAAUAUUUAUACACAACUUUCAACAACGGAUCUCUAGGCUCUU
RNAcentral lists this unclassified non-coding RNA (181 nucleotides) under Ascomycota sp. RNAcentral describes it as "partial contains small subunit ribosomal RNA, internal transcribed spacer 1, and 5.8S ribosomal RNA". The stretch from base 1 to 47 matches the Rfam family "Eukaryotic small subunit ribosomal RNA", at positions 1785 to 1831 of the family's 1831-position model. The record is from RNAcentral. Lineage: Eukaryota; Fungi; Ascomycota.